RNAcentral lists this ribosomal RNA (373 nucleotides) under uncultured organism. Its description in RNAcentral is "partial 16S ribosomal RNA". It matches the Rfam family "Bacterial small subunit ribosomal RNA", at positions 527 to 897 of the family's 1533-position model. The record is from RNAcentral.
GGAGGGCGCAAGCGUUGUUCGGAAUCAUUGGGCGUAAAGCGCGUGUAGGCGGCUUGGUAAGUCGGGUAUGAAAGCCCGGGGCUCAACCCUGGAAUUGCACUCGAUACUGCCUCGCUAGAGUCCCGGAGGGGAAGGCGGAAUUCCGGGUGUAGAGGUGAAAUUCGUAGAUAUCCGGAGGAACACCGGUGGCGAAGGCGGCCUUCUGGACGGUGACUGACGCUGAGACGCGAAAGCGUGGGGAGCAAACAGGAUUAGAUACCCUGGGUAGUCCACGCCGUAAACGUUGGGUGCUAGGUGUCGCGGGUAUUGACCCCCUGCGUGCCGCCGUUAACGCAUUUAGCACCCCGCCUGGGGAGUACGGUCGCAAGGCUAA